UGUUGUGAAAUAAAUUUAAAUUAAAAAAAAAUUAUGCUAAUUGCAAAAAAAUACUUGAGUGCCUUAACUAAAAUGUCUACAUUUUUAAUAAAAACAACCAGAAAAAACUGGUCUGAAUUAGAUACACAACUUUACUUAUUAUUUGUUUUUCAAAUGAAAAUUUUUAAAACAACGGUUGUGCUUUUGAUACUUUUUUUGCUUGGCAACAUAUACUUAAUUUUUUUAGCUUGCGGCAACACUUGUCACUAAUUAUUAGAGCGUGAAUGAGAAUAGAACAAAUGAAUUAUGUGCGUACGUGUGUUUUGUUUUUGUGCCGUUUUUGCAUUUUCCUUAUAUUUUUGCAUUCGAAAGCGAACCGGAAGAAUAUUACCGUAGAUCAAUUUAUAUACCGUUUUUAGAUCCAAAAAAUACCAAAUCAAUGAACGAUUUUUAAAACAUCGAGAGCUGCUUUCCAAAAUUGAAAACAUUUUGUCAAAUAAAUGCAUAAACCUUGACGUUAUUGAGAUGCCGGAGACUGUUCGUAUUUUAGAAAAGCAGUGGUCCGCUGAUGUAGAAGAUCCCGAUGAUUUCGUUGCUGAAUUUAGAAUGUGGAAAAUGUUAAAAAUCUUUUCUUCAGAUUAUAUUUUCUAACUAAAAUUUUGAAUAUAUUUUCAGGAACUGGUUAAAUCAAACAAAGAGAUCCAAAACUUUUUUAGACGCGUUGAAUUGUUGCGAUGCAAAAAUUUUCAAAACAGUGCAUCGUUUUUUAAAGAUUGGAGCAACAAUUCCUAUAUCUGUCGCUUCAAGUGAACGCUCGUUUUCCUCACUUCGCAGGCUUAAAACAUAUUUAAGAAAUAAAACUGGAGAAGCACGCCUGGACGGAAUGGCUCUCUUGAAUAUCCAUAGAGAUAUAGACGUGACGGAGGAAGAGAUUUUAAAUGUUAUGGGCCAAAAUAAAAGAAGAUUAGACUUCAAUUUGUGAAUAAAAUAAUGAAACAUUGUCUUUUUACCUAAAACCCCCCCCAAAUUUUUUUCCUGCGUUCGCCACUGGUGAAUGUCCUGCAUUAUCAAGAAAACGGCUUCAGCAUUUGUGGGCAACACCUUACGUUAAUCUGGAAGAGAUUUCAUUGGUGAAGCCACCAGGCCUUUUGAAAUUCGCAACAAGCGCAGGCAUCCUAAAGGAUGAUUACUUCUCAUUAACUAAGUGACGGCACACCAUCUGGUAUCGCAAAGGACCAAAAAUGGUCUAUGUGUGGCUUUUUAGCAUACCAGAAUAACCUAACCUAACCUAACCUAUAUGAAUAUGAGGACCUCGGUGCUUCAAAUUUUCAAAAUCAAAAAGUAAGGAAGGGCUAAGUUCGUUUUUGACCGAACAUUUUAUACUCUCGCAAUUUAUUUAUUUAAUAUUAUAAAAUACACAUUUGUACCCACAUAUUCAUUAUAUAUAUGGUAUAAAGUCCAUUGAAAGUUGAAAACAAUAAUAUUAGGUUAGAAGCACCGAAGUCCUCAUGUUCGAUAUAUGGGGCCUUAAAGAUAUAUGGCCCAAUUUCGGCGGUUUCGAGAAGGACGAUGCCACACUAUAAAUGCAGUAUUUAUGCGAAGUUCUGUUCCGAUAUCUUCACCAGUAAAGUAAACUAUUCAGGUCGACUUCAAAGUUCCAGUAUAUAGGAAGUAGGCGUGGUUGUGAACCGAUUUGGCCUAUUUUCAGAACAUAUCAUUGGGUUGUAAGGAAAAUAUUACAAACCAAGUUUCAUUGAUAUUGGUCGAGUAAUUUCGGAAAUAUGGUUUUUGAUCCAUUUCAACAUGUGUAUACCAAUUUGAGUUCAGCCCUUCUGUAACAUCUUUGUAAUGAAAUUUAAGGUUUCUGGUGCUUUUCCUUAGUGAAUUAAAGCAUUUUUAGUAGUUUUAAAUAUAACCUUUGUAUGGGAGGUGGGCGUGGUUUUAAUCCGAUUUUAUCCAUUUUUGGAAUGUAUAAAGAAGAGCCUAAAAGAAGCGACGAGAUAUGUACAAAAACCUUAGUAGCGUGUGUAACUACGCCCACUUUCCAAACAAAAAUUACAUCCACAUAUGCCCCUUCAUAGUGGGAUCCUUCAUACCAAAUUUUACUUCAAUAGCUUUAUUUAUGGCUUAGUUAUAGCUCUUUAUAUGUUUUCGCUCUUUUAAUAGUGACACAACGAUAGUACAACAAUAGCGACUCCAGGCAGAGGACUCAUAGAAGCAGAUUAUAUUGCAUCAAUAUACACCAACAUUGCAAUAAUAACAACGUAAUGGAUGCUUAUGGUGAUAACAAUAUACAAAAUUCGAAACAACAAAGCGGAGAUAAAGUAUUACUUCCAUAUAGGAAGGUAGCUAUACUUGGUAUGGGUGCGGGGAAUCCUACCAGCAAUUCUUCAACACAUACCACGGCAAUCGCUCAUCAAAUUCAAACUAGAGUUCGCCGUAUGAUGGAAGAAGCACACGUAGUCCUUUGUGCCAGAAAGUAACAAAAAUCGUGCACCAGAAGUACAUACAAAAUAUACAACAACAACAGAACAAGGAUUAUGCCACUGGAGGCAGAUGGAUGUUUGCAAACUUCGGAAGAAAAACUUAAGCUUAAGCUGGAUACCACCUUAGACUUUUAAUAGUGACACAACGAUAGUACAACAAUAGCGACUCCAGGCAGAGGACUCAUAGAAGCAGAUUAUAUUGCAUCAAUAUACACCAACAUUGCAAUAAUAACAACGUAAUGGAUGCUUAUGGUGAUAACAAUAUACAAAAUUCGAAACAACAAAGCGGAGAUAAAGUAUUACUUCCAUAUAGGAAGGUAGCUAUACUUGGUAUGGGUGCGGGGAAUCCUACCAGCAGUUCUUCAACACAUACCACGGCAAUCGCUCAUCAAAUUCAAACUAGAGUUCGCCGUAUGAUGGAAGAAGCACACGUAGUCCUUUGUGCCAGAAAGUAACAAAAAUCGUGCACCAGAAGUACAUACAAAAUAUACAACAACAACAGUUGGUAUUAAUACUUCCCAUGCUUAUAAUAAACAAAUAAUGGUGGAUAAUCGGCAAAUAGUGUACCAUGUGUAUGUCUUCAACCAGCAAGUAAUCACUACUCAGACAACAACACGUGCAGCAGCAGCAACAUUUAAUACAUAUUCAAAUUCAGAAUUAAAGUCAAAAUCGCACAAUGCAACCGGCAAAUAACAAAGCAUCGGAUGAUAUAAAACAAAUAACAUCAGACUUUCGCUAAACAGUUUUCCUAUGGUUAUCUUGGGUCUACACAAUGGGUAGUUAACAUUGUAACAGAGCUCGAAAAAACAUUAUUGAGGCGCAGAAGUUGUUUAUCCUGCUUCUGAUUUGACUAUGAAAGAAUUAUUAAGCUGAACUUACAAUUUAUCAUUUUCAAUAUUAUGAUUGUUAAUUUAUAAAUUUUGAAUUCAUUUGUAUUGCACAACACAAAAAAUCAAUACUUAAAACUUUUGAGAAAUUGUAAAUUUUGUCAAUAUUUAAAUGAU
Zeugodacus cucurbitae (melon fly) is the source of this 3469-nucleotide long non-coding RNA. RefSeq lists it as uncharacterized. The transcript is spliced from 5 exons. The record is from RefSeq and is a predicted model, not a curated record. Lineage: Eukaryota; Metazoa; Arthropoda; Insecta; Diptera; Tephritidae.